GGUUAAGUUAGAAAGGGCGCACGGUGGAUGCCUUGGCACUAGGAGCCGAAGAAGGACGGGACUAACACCGAUAUGCUUUGGGGAGCUGUACGUAAGCGUUGAUCCAGAGAUUUCCGAAUGGGGGAACCCACUAUCUUUAGUCGGAUAGUAUCCUUACGUGAAUACAUAGCGUGAGGAAGGCAGACCCAGGGAACUGAAACAUCUAAGUACCUGGAGGAAGAGAAAGAAAAAUCGAUUUCCUGAGUAGCGGCGAGCGAAACGGAAAGAGCCCAAACCAAGAAGCUUGCUUCUUGGGGUUGUAGGACACUCUAUACGGAGUUACAAAAGAAAGUUAUAAAUGAAGCGGUCUGGAAAGGCCCGCCAAAGACGGUAACAGCCCGGUAGUUGAAAUAGCUUUCCCUCCAGAGUGGAUCCUGAGUACGGCGGAACACGUGAAAUUCCGUCGGAAUCCGGGAGGACCAUCUCCCAAGGCUAAAUACUCCCUAGUGACCGAUAGUGAACCAGUACCGUGAGGGAAAGGUGAAAAGCACCCCGGAAGGGGAGUGAAACAGUUCCUGAAACCGUGUGCCUACAAGUAGUUAGAGCCCGUUAAUGGGUGAUAGCGUGCCUUUUGUAGAAUGAACCGGCGAGUUACGAUUUGUUGCAAGGUUAAGCGGAAAAAGCGGAGCCGUAGCGAAAGCGAGUCUGAAUAGGGCGCAUAAGUAACAGGUCGUAGACCCGAAACCAGGUGAUCUACCCAUGUCCAGGAUGAAGGUAAGGUAAUACUUACUGGAGGUCCGAACCCACGCACGUUGAAAAGUGCGGGGAUGAGGUGUGGGUAGCGGAGAAAUUCCAAUCGAACUUGGAGAUAGCUGGUUCUCUCCGAAAUAGCUUUAGGGCUAGCCUCGAGGUAAAGAGUCAUGGAGGUAGAGCACUGUUUGGACUAGGGGCCCUUCUCGGGUUACCGAAUUCAGAUAAACUCCGAAUGCCAUGUACUUAUACUCGGGAGUCAGACUGCGAGUGAUAAGAUCCGUAGUCGAAAGGGAAACAGCCCAGACCACCAGUUAAGGUCCCCAAAUAUAUGUUAAGUGGAAAAGGAUGUGGGGUUGCUUAGACAACCAGGAUGUUGGCUUAGAAGCAGCCACCAUUGAAAGAGUGCGUAAUAGCUCACUGGUCGAGUGACCCCGCGCCGAAAAUGUACCGGGGCUAAACAUAUUACCGAAACUGUGGAUGAACCUCUUUAGAGGUUCGUGGUAGGAGAGCGUUCUAAGGGCGGUGAAGUCAGACCGGAAGGACUGGUGGAGCGCUUAGAAGUGAGAAUGCCGGUAUGAGUAGCGAAAGAAGGGUGAGAAUCCCUU
Molecule: ribosomal RNA, 1337 nt
Filed under: Listeria monocytogenes
Lineage: Bacteria; Bacillati; Bacillota; Bacilli; Caryophanales; Listeriaceae
Description: partial 23S ribosomal RNA
Rfam family: Bacterial large subunit ribosomal RNA
Source: RNAcentral